UUUGUCUCAAAUAAAAAAAUAACCAAAACAUAAAACAUUCAUACAGCUUCAAGAUUGCAUUUUAAUUUUACAAGUAGACAUGAAAUUGAAAUAAAUCACCAUGACAACAAAGAGAAAUAAAUACACUUUAGAAAUAAUCGCGCGCGCGCGCACGCUUAUAUCCACGCGACAGAGGAGGAGAUAAGAACAUGAUUUUUGUAUCAGCAAGCUUCGAAUUUUUAGCCUUUUCCACACUGUGCAGUUCAUAUCACUCAUCAAUUGGAUAAAUGUUUUAUCAAUAUCACAUGCUUAUGAAAUGAAAUUAUAGCAACAAAUCAAUAAAGAAGCUUCUACAUCGUGACAUUACUUGCCAGAAAAAGCAGUCUAAUCUCCUUCAAAUCACAAUCUAUUGUCUUAAAAAAAAAGAAGAUUUUAUAUUAUUAUUUAUUAAUGAUUUCUUACAAGGACAGAAAGAAAAAUCUCUAAGUUUGCAGGCUACAAUCAGUACAGUGAAUCUCAGGGUGCUAGAGUUGCAGUAACAGUUGAAUGCCAGACAAAAAUGUUUAAGGCAGCAAGCUGGCAGAAAUGUUAGCAUGCCGGGCGAAAUGUAUAGCGGUAUUUCGUCUGGUGUUACGUUCUGAGUUCAAAUUCCACCGAGGCCGACUUUGCCUUUCAUCGUCGAUAAAUUAAGUACCAGUUAUGCACUGGAGUCGAUGUAAUCGACUUAAUCCCUUUGUCUGUCCUUGUUUGUCCCCUCUGUGUUUAUUUAGCCCCUUGUGGGCAAUAAAGAAAUAAU
Molecule: long non-coding RNA, 775 nt
Organism: Octopus bimaculoides (California two-spot octopus)
Lineage: Eukaryota; Metazoa; Mollusca; Cephalopoda; Octopoda; Octopodidae
Source: RefSeq, a predicted model, not a curated record